RNAcentral lists this long non-coding RNA (19562 nucleotides) under Homo sapiens (human). Its description in RNAcentral is "non-protein coding lnc-ZNF169-7:4". The stretch from base 10090 to 10176 matches the Rfam family "let-7 microRNA precursor family". Lineage: Eukaryota; Metazoa; Chordata; Mammalia; Primates; Hominidae. The record is from RNAcentral.
AGGCCGCCGCGGCGGCGCCCGCCCGCGCCUCCAUCCGGGUCCUGGCGCGGUGCUCUCCCGGCAGCGACGGGCGCGAGGGCCGGGGCAUUCCCACGGCCGCGACGGCCCUCUCCGCGAGCGCGAGGUGGGUAUGGCGGACGCGGCAGCGAGCGCGGGUCCGUCGCCAUUUUAUUUCGCGGAGACUCGCGGCAGCGGGUGGGCAGAAUGGGAGAGCCGUGCGCCGGCCCGCGCCUGUCCGGCUAACGCGGGCUGGGACUGGUGGGGCGGCCUGCCCCCUCCAGCGGGCGGGUGGCCCCGGGGGGCCGGCGGGCUGCUAGCGGAAGUCGCGGGCGCUCGGGGCACGGGGGAGGGGUGCCGCGUGGCCGCCGCGGGGCCGGCUCCAACCCCCUCCGCUUCCCGCCCAGCUCCUCACCGACAGGGCGGGGGAGGGGGGGUCAUUCUUCACAUUCCUUACCCCGCCCUUCCCCCCGCUUCAAUCAAACUUGGGGCGGGCGGAAGGCCCGCCUUCCGGCCGGCGCCUGUUGGCCGGCGCCGCCUCUGACUGUGGCGUGACUGGUUGUAGGCGCCGCCAGGUGCCUCUGACGUCACUUCCGCUAUCAAGUUUGUGGGCCGGGGAGACCUUGGCCUUGGGGGUUGGGAUGAAGGAGGGAAGGUAGGAAGUGCGAGGGGCGGGGGGACAGGGCGGGAAGGCGCGGGCGGGGAGGGCGGGAGAGUCGUGGCUGGCUGCAUGCCCCUGCUCCCCGCGGCCAAGUGCAGCCUCCCUUCCUGAAGCAGCUGCUGCGGCUGGAGGUCCGCUGCGGCAGCCGUCCUUGGCGAGGGGGAGGGGAACGCGGGAGCGGGAGGAAAUCGUAUCCCGGGGGACGGGGCUUGGAGAUUUGCGACUCGGUGUCACCGGAAACAGCGCUGGCCUUUUGAGUCGACGCUGCAAACUCUUGGAACCGAGUGCCUCUCAGAAGGCUUGCUAAUAAACUUCCCGGGCGGGCUCUAGUGUGAGGAAUGUGGUAACCUGUAUGUCCUUGGCCAGUAAUGCCCUUCGGUCUUUCAACUUUUUACAGUAGAUUCUGUGUCAGAGGUAAUGGUAUGUAUUCUUCAACUUACCGGUUUUUAAAAAAUUGACUAACGAGAGGGCGGGCAGACAGGAAAAAGGCAGGGAAGACAGUGAAUGUUAAAAUUUUGAGGUAAAUCAGGAGACUGGUUGAGUUUUGCUUUUUAACUUCAUUGAUAAUACUGCUUUCUUGGCAUACAGUUCCUAAAGUUAAAGCAUCAUGUGGCAUUCCUUUGCAUUUAUUUCUGUUGGCCUGAAGUAUAAGAACAUUGAAUGUCAAAUUCCAAAUUUAUGUGUAGUUUAGGAAAUAAUUGUUUAUAUCCAGAAUUCUUUUGGUGUUUGGCGGGGUCUGGUUUUAUUUACUGUAUAUUCGGGAAGUAUGUGUAGUUAGGGAAGUAAAAACUUGGAAGUUACUUUGGGUUUUGUGAGAAUGUUUGAUUCAUUAUACAUAUUUGUUAAAAGUUUACUUUGAAACUUCAACUUUGAGAAUAGACAAAUUUCUUGACGUCCUGUAAAUUCAGUGGUAUUAUAUAGCAUUUUAAAAUUUAUCACUUAGGUGCAAUUACAGUGUGAGGGGAAAAGUUAACUUUUUUGAAUAGUUACAUUGCAGUGACAGCAAGAGAGUAUUUUUAUGUGUAGACAGGCUGUGGGUUCCCCUCACUUAAAUUGAAGCUCUGUUGAACUUGAGACACUUAAGAAUCUUGCAAGUGUGAAAAGUGGAGUGAAACAAAACCAUUUCUAAAACGAAAAUGUGUAACUGCGUUCAGUUUUACACAGUGAAGAAAUAAGUAUUAAACAAGUUAGUCUCAAACGUUUAUAUCUUAAGGUCAUUUUAUUCCUGUUAUCAUUAACUAGACAUAUCUUGGUUUAGAGAGCAGCACACAAGACAUUGUGUACUUUUAAUAGCUAAGAUAGUAUAAUAACUACUCAUAUGGGAAUUACCGAGUGUUAAGAGCGCCAAACUAGUGUUUCAAACUGUAGGUCCUGAGUUAUAGGGUCAUGAAGUCACUUUAGUGGGUGGUGAUCCGAAUUUUUUAAAAAGUAGAAAAUAUUCCAUUGAAUACAAAAUAGCGUGUUGAUUCAGCUCGACACAUGUGUAUUCCUGUAAAAUAAUCCUGUGAAGCUGAGUGUCAAAAGUUGAAAAACAACUUCUGUAGGGUGUUUUUCUCGUUUAUAGCAUUGUGUAAAGUAUUAUAGUUUAAUAUUUUUUAACGAGUAUUAAAUGGGCUGUUUAUAUUUGGUGGAACAUGAGCCACCUACUUUAGUUUCACAAGUUGGGAAGUAAAUUUGCCAUCCAGGACCAGUAUGCGUUUUAAUCAUAGUAUUUUUAAUAGCCUGUGAAGCUUUUCUUUAGACCAUAAGAGGUCUUUUCCAUCCCAUAAUAUUUAUUGCCAAUUAUUUAUCCAUGUCUAGAUGAGACUAGAAGAAUCCGAAUCCCCAGUAAUGAGUUGUCAGCAUUGCUUAAUGUGACCUCAGGACUGAUCAUCAUAUGCUUUUUGCCUGUGUAGGUGUUCUAAGCGUUGUAUAAUCACUUAAGAAUGGACUUCAUUAAAUAGACAAAAUAUGAGAGCCAUUACACUAUUUUUGGUAUUAAGUCUUUGAAAUCCAGACUGUUUUACACUUGCAACACAUACACUUGGGGCUAAUCACAUUUCAGGUGCUCAGUAGCAACAUGUGACUAACAGCUACCAAAUGAACAGUGCAGUUCUAGUGCACUGUUUUUAAAAAAAUUAGAUUUUUUUUUAAAAUUAGAUUUCUCUAGCUGAAUAGUUGUAGUUUCAGAUAAACAGCCAAAAAUGUUCUGUCUCUCCACAGCUUCAUCUCAAUUGUGAAGAAAUUGCAUUAGGUGAUUUUUUUUUUUUUUUUUUUUUAAAUAAUAGAAACAACGUCUCACUAUGUUGCCCAGGCUGGUCUCCAACUCCUGAGCUCAAGUGAUCCUUCUUCCUCAGCCUCCCAAAGUGCUAAGAUUACAGGUGUGAGCCACCGGGUUCCUGGCCGAAUCAGGUGAUUUCUUAGGCCCUUUCUAAAUACAAGGUUUAAGUGUUUUGAGGCAGCCGACAGCUAUACCUUUAAGUCUCUUGCUUCUCUAAGAAUAAGACAUUUUGGAUCAUUUGUUCUACCAUAACGUAAUGAAUACAAGUUGGGAGCAUUUUGCUCUUCUGUUAAGCACAGUUGGCCUUCCUGUCCAAGGAUUUUUGCAUCCUUGAAUUCAACUAACCUCAAAUGGAAAAUAUUUGGGGGAAAAAAAGUAUGUACAACAAAAAUAAUAUGAUCAAAAAUAAUACAGUAUAACGACUAUUUACAUAACUUUUACAUUGUAUUAGGUAUUGUAAGUAAUCUAUGUAGGAGGAUGUGUGUAGGUUACAUGCAAAUAUGACACCACAUUUUAUAAGGGACUUGAGCAUCUGAGGAUUUUCCUCUGGGAGAAGGAGGUAUCCUGGAGGCAAUCCCCUGAGGAUACUUUUCUACUUUGUGUGAAUUUUUCAUUAACAGGAAGUUACAGUACUUUUCUGGUCACCUGAGAAACCCACCCCAUAUUUUUAUUAGCCAAAUAUAUAAUUCUCGAAUGCUUAGAAUUCAUUUCUUAAUGAUUUCACUGUUGUGCAGUAUAGACUGUGAAUUGCCUACUAAGGAUACAGUUAAUUAUAGUAAACUGUGGAAUCUAGAUUAAAUAAUUACACCCUACUUUUUUUCUUGGCUUGUGGAUGUGUAGACUACAUAGUGGUUUUUUCAACCCAGGAACAUAACAGUAUAAUGGAGGAUAGGAAGGCAGAAGAUGUUUAAAGGGUUGAGAAAUAAUGGUAUAUGUAUAAUGGUCAGUAAGCAGAACAAGCCAGCCAAGUUGGAUAUUCUUCAAGACUAUCUUAAGUGUCUGCUAUGUGUCUAAGUGAAAGGAAAUAAGCAAUAGUCCUUUUGGGAAACCUGACCUAGUACUUAGCUAUUUCAGACUUAAUGUGAUGUUUGAUAGAGUAGGAAAUAAGAUCUUAAAUUAGAAUUAGGUUAAAUUGCUUUAGAGAAACUUAUUUAUAAAUGUAAAGAAUUUAUUAUCUCAUGUGUUGCACAUGCUCUAUCGAAGGGAGCAAAAUACUAUUGGAGAGUUUGCUUAUUAAUGUAAUACUCAGCCUGCAUCAUUGUCGGAUAAUUUUGUUGAUAAUUCAACUAUUUGAGAUUGAAAGAAAUCUGUUAAAGUAGCCAGUGUUGUAAUUUUGAUCUGUGUUUGAUUACAGCGUAUGAAACAAAAAUGAGACUGGAGGAAAUAGUUUACUUGUGAACUUUUUGAGCUACUUUGUUUUAGGAGUAUUUAAAUUAAUGUAAAAGUGUAGGGAAAUGUCUUAGCUCAGAAAAUUUAAACUUACUAGAUAUUAAGUGCUUAAAAGGUAGAGUAUGCUUGCAUUUCAACUAAAGUUUAGAGUGUUUUAGGAAAUUAGAGGCUAUUUUAAAAAAUAUUUUGAAGUUAGGAGUGUGUUCCUAAGUGUUUUCACCAUAAGAAAAUAAGUCUGUGGGGAUAGUACAUAUGUUAAUUAACUUGAUUUAGCUAUAAUAUAAACCUAUUUUAUGUACACCAUAAAAAUAACAAUUUUUAUGUCAAUUUGAAACAAAUUCAUUACAAAAAUGAAAUUAGGAAUGUGAAUGUUAAUAAGUUAUGAAAACUUACUUGAUGUAAAUGUAGAUAUAGACAAGUCUAUAACUAAUAGAUUUGCCUGCUUUGUAGCAUGCUUUAAAUUGAUAAUAUUUUUAACUAUCACAAGUAUAUCUGGAAAGGUAAAAUUCCUGUUAGGAUAGUUUGUCAAAUUAAUUUAUUAAGUACAGUUGCCAUUUGUUGAGUUAAUUUCUCAGUCAUUCAAUAUCUUUGCAUGUAUCCCAGUCCUGACAGCAACCCCAUGAGGUGUGGCUGUUACAGUUCCCCCAAAUGGCGAUGAGAGAACACAGCCACUAAGUAGCUGCUUGGCUGCUUGACCCUGAAACCAUUGCCCUUAACCAUUUUCCUGUACUGGUAUGCUGAGCUGAAUGAAAUGAAGAUACAUUUUGUGUAAGUUGAAUUUUGACUUUUAGUUGCCAUAAAUUAAUUAAAUAAUUUAUUAUUGUAUAUAUUUUUUUGAGACAGUUUUGCUCUUCUUGCCCAGGCUGGAGUGUAAUGGUGCGAUCUUGGUCUACUGCAACCUCUGCCUCCUGGGUUCAAGCGAUUCUCCUACCUCAGCCUCCUGAGUAGCUGGGAUUACAGGUGCCUACCACCAUGCCUGGCAAAUUUUUGUAUUUUUAGUAGAGAUGGGUUUUCACCAUGUUGGCCAGGCUGGUCCCAAACUCCUGACCUCAGGUGAUCCACUCGCCUGGGCCUCUCAAAGUGCUGGGAUUAUAGGUGUGAGCCACUGUGCCUGGCCAGUUGCCGUAAUAUAUAUAUAUUUUUUUUGAGACCGCAUCUUGCUCUGUUGCCCAGGCUGGAGUGCGGUGGCAUGAUCUCGGCUCCAUGCAACCUCCACCUUCCAGGUUCAAGCGAUUCUUCUGCCUCAGCCUCCCGAGUAGCUAGGACUACAGGCGCAUGCCACCAUGCCUGGCUGAUUUUUUUAUUUUUAGUAGAGAGGGGGUUUCACCAUAUUGGCCAGGCUGGUUUCGAACUCCUGACCUCAUGAUUUGCCCUCCUGGGCCUCCCAAAGUGCUGGGAUUACAGGCAUGAGCCACUGUGCCUGGCCAUUUGCCAUAACUUUUAAUGAGAGGGUAGUUCCAGCUACAGAUUGAGGUAGUAUGUGAAUAAGGAUAGAAAGUGGAUAUAAAAGUAUUUUUGUUACUUUUUAAGAAAGAAUUAUCAGAAGGCUCAAAUUCUGAUAAUUUUAGCUAAUAGUAUUCUACCUAAGAAGUAAACAAAGGCCCAGAAAUUAGAUGAUAUGUCCAAGGACAUAGUAAAUGGGGAGCCAGCAUUAACUGUAGACAGAAAAACUUCAAGUCCUAAAUGUAUACUAGCUAUCAACCCACUCUUUCCCAGUACGCAAGCAUUACAUAGUUGUGAUUAGUUAGUUAGGGCUUUUAAUUAACUUCCAAAUGAAUAUUUCCAUGGGUUCUUGUAAUCCAUAAAUUCAUGGAUUAUGUUCAGUGUUUAUGAGAGCUGGCCCUAACUGAACAUUGCUCGGCUGUUUGGUUUUAGUUUCCACCAUUUGCUGUAAUCAGUGUUUUCUAAACUGCAGGCUGGGAACCAUUAGAUUAUAAAAUCAGUUCAUGUAUAUAAUAAAAUAACAUAUUAGAGUAAGUAUUGAUUUGUGAACAAUAUUAUUUAUUGGAUUACUUAUAUACAUAUACUUUUCAAAAAAUUGAGGGUCAUGUUAAUAGCACUUGGUAUGUAAAUUACCAGAAUGCUUUCUAGCAAUAUGGUAUUUAUUUACAUAGCUGGAUUGAGAAAGAAUAAUACAAAGUAAGCAUGUGACACCAAGGUUGGAAAAAAAAUGUGUUUUUGAAUGUUUGAUGAGGAUUCAAACAUGUUUUAAAUGAGAAAAUCGGUAGGAGGUUGAGGAUUGUAGUAGAAGUACCAGAUGCUUUUUCUUUUAGCUGUUUUUUUUCGUUGCUGUUGUUUGGUUGGUUUUGGUUUUGGUUUUUUUUUUUUUUUUUUUGGCUGUUAUUGUUUUAAAAGUAAGGACUAGGCCGGGUGCAGUGGCUCACGCCUGUAAUCCCAGCACUUUGAGAGGCGAAGGCAGGCAGGCAGGCAGAUCACCUGAGGUCAGGAGUUCGAGACCAGCCUGGCCAACAUGGUGAAACCCCGUCUUUACUAAAAAUACAAAAAUGAGCUGGGCGUGAUGGUGGAUGCCUAUAAUCCCAGCUACUUGGGGGGCUGAGGCAGGAAAAUCGCUUGAACCCAGGAGGCGGAGGUUUCAGGAGCCAAGAUCACACGGUUGCACUCCAGCCUGGGUGACAGAGCAAGACCUCGUCUCUAAAAAAAUAAAAGUAAGGACAGUGCUGAUUCAUGGGAAAUAUUUUGGCUUAUAAAGGGCCUGACGUUAGGGACAAGUGUGUCUGUGAGUUCCUAGUUUGCAUAACCUGGCCUUGUAGAAUUGAAAUGGUCUCAAAUGUAGUAUAGUUUAGUGAUGCAGUACUGUCUCUAAUUUGGGGCAAGUUAUUAAGCUUCUUACCACCAGUUUUCAUCUAGAGAUGAUGAAGUAGUUGGACCUUACAUAUUUUGGAUAUAUGGUAUUAAUAAAUCUUUCCCUUUUUGUUACAGACGUGUUGAUACUGCAGCUAGGAAAGCUGAGGGACUUCGGCUAAAUUUCUUUUGCAAGAUUUCAAUGGCAGAGAAUUAGUAGGGCCAGGAUUUGAACCCUGGUUUUUAUUGACUCCAAAUGAGUAAUGCUGUGAACAUUCAAAUACACGUUUUUUCAAUUCUCUUGCCCUUUUUUUUUGCGGGGAGGGGCAGGGUCUCACUCUCUUGCUCUGACUGGAGUGCAGUGGUGUGGUCAUAGCUUACUGCAACCUUUAACUCCUAGGCUCAAGCAAUCUUCCUGCCUCAACCUCCUGAGUAACUCAGCUGGGACCAUAAGCCUGCACCACCACACCCAGCCAUGUUCAGUUCUCUAGAGUAUAUACCUAGAAAUGGAAUUGCUGGGUCAUAUGGUGAACUGUUUUUUACUCAUCACUAACCAGUUCUGACACCAACAAUCAAUUCUUCAACUCGACACCAACAGAGUGUCCUACAAUUAAAUUUAAUUCUGAAACUACCUGAAGUUAGUACAAACUUCACAGGUUGAGGGCUCAAACACGUAAGACUGCCCCCGCUUCAGAUGCAGGUUUCUACCUGAAUUUUUAACCAACCAGCUAUAAAUUAGGGGGUUUCACAACCUCUUCCACUGGGUCUAUAAUUUGCUAGGAUGGCUUACAGAACACAGGAAGACACUCAUUAUCACUGGUUUAUUAUAAAGGAUUUAAAUGAAUAGCCAGAUGAAGAGGUCCUUAAGCUGAAGUCCAGGAGGGUUCCUAGCACAGGAGCUUCUGUAUCUAUGGAGUUAGGGUUACACCAGCCUCCUGGCAUGAAGAUGUGUUUUUCAACUCAGAGCUGUCCAAACCCUGACACUUAAGGGGUUUUUAUGGAGGUUUCAUACUUAGGCAUGAUUGAUUACAUUAUUGGCCUUUGAUGAUUGGCUUACUCUCUGUCCUCUCUGCUUUACCUGGAGGUUGAGGGGGUGAGGCUGAAAGUUCCACCCCUCUAAUCACACCUUGGUCUUUCUGGUGACUAUCCCCCUCCUGAAACUACAGGAGCCACCAAUCGACUCAGUAGCAUUAAACAGACAUUCAUCACUUAGGAAAUUCUGAGGGUUUUAGGAGCUGUAUGCCAGCCAGGAUCUUCAAAUGGAGACAAAGACGAAAUACGUGUUUCUGAUUCCACUUAACAACUGUUUGACUUGUCUACAAGUUUUGUUCUCCAAAGCAGCUGCACCAUUUCACAUUCCCACCAGCAAUCUAAGGGUUCCAAUUUUCUCCGCAUCCUUGUCAACACUUUUAUUAAUCUUAUUAGCCAUCCUAAUGAAUAAUGUAUCUUUUCAUGUGCCUGUUGGCCAUUUGUGCUUAUGAGUCAUAUCUUUGGUGAAAUAUCUAUUAAAAUAUUUUACCAUUAAAUUAGGUUGUUUUAAGUUACUUUAAUGUGUGUUUUGCACACCAGUUUACAAAGAAUGCAGAUCCAUUUUUUUUGCAUGUGGCUAUACAGCCGUCAGCAUUAUUUGUUGAAAAAACGAUUCCCAGUUGAAUUGUCUUGUCAUGGUUGAAAAUCAGUUGACCCAUGUAUGGGUUUAUUUCUAGACUUUAAAUUCUAUUAUAUUGAGCCGUAUGUUUUUUAUUACGUUUUGUAAUUUUAAAAAUUAGUGCUUUUGGUUACUAAAUCACUACAAAAUAAAUUUAGUCCCUAUCUUAAAAGAUAAUCUUCGUAGUAGCUACCUCCUAAAUAUGAAGUCUGUAAAUUAAAGGGUAAUAAUACAGUUUAGAUUACUUGGGUUUAUUAAAGAUUUUGGACUCUGCCUUCAAUCCACAUAUUACCUUUCUAUCUAAAGGAAAGGAUCCUGACCCUGAAUCAGAUCCAGGUGAUUAUCUUUGAUUUAGUCCUAAUAAGACCACUUAGUGUUUGCUCGCAUGGGAUAAAUGAGUAGGUUCCUUUAAAAAUUAGUUUCUAUUUGUGUGUGUUUUUUAUAUUAUCUCGUUGUAUGUUAGUGCAUUUGGAUUAUGCAUGAUGUACAGGACUUUUGGGUUUUGAAGUCAUUGGAUUUUUAAUUAGAGGCUGUCAUGUUUUUCUGUAAUGAUUUUUUGUUGUUUCUUGAAGGAUAAGUUAUUUCAUGCAUUUUCAUUUGUAGGAACUGUAAGAAAACCAGCAGUUAAUAAUAGUAAAAGGUGGUGGUAAGAGGGUGAUUUCUGAAUCUUGUAAAUACAUGGUUUUAGGAGCGGAUUCAGAUAACCAAGCAUUUAAAAUACUAUUAAUGAAAUACAGGAAAUGAAACCACAGCAUAGAUUAUGCAUGUAGCCAAAAUGUUCAGUUAAACUUCAUUUUCAACGUAAGUGAAUGAAAAUGGUCUAAUACUAUUUUUCUUAUCACUCACACAGGAAACCAGGAUUACCGAGGAGGAAAAAAAGCCUUCCUGUGGUGCUCAACUGUGAUUCCUUUUCACCAUUCACCCUGGAUGUUCUCUUCACUGUGGGAUGAGGUAGUAGGUUGUAUAGUUUUAGGGUCACACCCACCACUGGGAGAUAACUAUACAAUCUACUGUCUUUCCUAACGUGAUAGAAAAGUCUGCAUCCAGGCGGUCUGAUAGAAAGUCAGUUAACUAAUUGUACAAUAUUUAAGAUUAACUUGUCUUAAAGAGAUGUAGUGCAGCAUUUGUUUAUGGCCUGGAAAUAAAUUAAUUUAGAGAUAAAGUCUGUAGCAAGUACACUGGAUGGGGGUGGGGAAACCUUUUGCUUCUUGUCUUAUUUCUCUGUGUCAGAAUAAAUGUAUUUUUUUAUUUUGAUUUAUGCUGAUAAUUUUAUGUUGAAAUUUUCUUUCGAAAGAGAUUGUACUUUCCAUUCCAGAAGAAAACAUUGCUCUAUCAGAGUGAGGUAGUAGAUUGUAUAGUUGUGGGGUAGUGAUUUUACCCUGUUCAGGAGAUAACUAUACAAUCUAUUGCCUUCCCUGAGGAGUAGACUUGCUGCAUUAUUUUCUUUUUAUUUAGAUGAUAUUAAAACUCAGAAGAAUUAAUUUUGACAUUUUGUAUUUACAGUUUAUCAGUUAAUUUUCUCUGUUCAAGUAGUACAGUAGGCACAGAUUAACAUUUAAAUUUUUCACAUAUGGUAUAUUUCAGAAAUUUGAAGUUAAGCAAAAAUUUUAAUGAGUAGAGAAAGUAAGUAGCCUUCAGGAAAUCUUCAUAGAGGACCAGGCCCUUUUGGAAUUGUGAAUAGGUUUAUUGCCUUACAUCCUGGUACACAUGUCCAAGGUCAGGUCCUGGGUGGUAAAGGUAAAUACAAAUUGGAAGGGCACUGUGUGAGCCAAAAUGAGUCAGAUUAGUCAUGAUUCAUUUCCAGUUUGGGUUUUGGGUGGUCUUGGAGAAUGUUGUAAGCACUGCUUCAUUGAUAGGUUGAUUGAGCCAGACUUUACUCAGCAGCCUGGAAAAGGAGAGAUGGGCUCUGGGUUCUACCUUUGCUCACUGGUAAGUUGCUAAGAUUUCAGCUUUGCCCUCAAACCCUGAAGUAGUCCUUCAUUCACACAGUGGGAUCACUCGAAAAUGUCAGAUGGGGAAGUCCAUAGGUUGUUACUUUAAAGAAAAUAGAAAAAAUGCUGGAAAAGGUUUCUUCAAUUUUAAUACCCAUGAAGGCCCAUGUUUUAGCUUUCCUCCGAUGGGCAAACCAUACACUAACUUGGGCCUUGUAAUCAACAAGCAAGGCUAAAAGCUCUCUAAGUGCUUGCUGUUUAAACUAUUUUGUGUUGGAAGAAGAGUUGGAAAAGAGGCAGUGUGGAGGUGAGGGAGAAGUUCCCUCCCUCCAAUCAUUUCCAAUAAAUGGAAAUUUAAGGAGAAAUUUGUGUUUAUCCUUAAUAUCUAAGAUAAUCACUGUGCAGUGCCAUUGGUACUUUUCAUGAGAGUAGAAACAUCAAACUUCCUUGGAUGGGCCCAACCCAGGUGACUUAACUCUGGACCAAAUGUAUGCUUUUUGUUUUAUCCACUGUGGACAGCUGCAUAGAUAAUUGGUCUUUGUUCUAAACUGCACAUAAAAACAUGGGAGAAAAUGACAUUUGUUGCCUUUUGAUGUGCCAAAGAAGAGUGGGAAUGUUCUAAGAAUUCUUUUUGGCUUAAUCUUUGUUGAAUUGAAAAUAUGUAUAACUCUUCUGCUGAAAGUGUAGCAAGUACAGUCAUGAAAUUUUGUGGUCUUCCUGACAUGUUCUUCCAGCAUAACGUUGCCACCUUCAGUUGGAAACGUAUCCUUAUCUAAUAAUUAAGCCCUGGAGAAAAAUUAAUUUAUAUAUUUUAUUAAUUACAUAAGGACAUUGUUAUUAGCUAAGCAGAGUAAGUAAAUCGAAAUAAAACUUUAAAAAUGCCUUUAUGGAGAGAAUGACUAUCUCUGAAAGCUUGUUUUUAAUGAUGAUAAAAUUCAUGAUCAGAAUUUGUUUCUGUUUGCUUUAAUUCAGGGGUCAAAAACUGAAAUACCAUCAGAGGCCCAGGAGGGGCUAGUUGUAACUGGCAAAUAUAGUAAAUUAAUUUGCUCUGGUUGAUAGGUAGCAAGCAGGGUUUAUAUACAUUGUCACCUACUUUUCCAGUUAACAGGAGAGACUGGAGAUUUUAUGAAAUUUGAUAUUUAAAUGUUGGUAACUGGGUUGGGCACCAUGGCUCACACCUCUAAUCCCAGCACUUCGGGAGGCUGAGGCGGGUGGAGCACCUGAGGUCAGGAGUUAAAGACCAUCCUGACCAGCCUGGUGAAACACAGUCUCUAAUAAAGAUACAAAAAUUAGGCCGGGUGUGGUGGCUCAUGCCGGUAAUCCCAGCACUUUGGGGAGGCCAAGGUGGGCGGAUCACCUGAGUCAGGAGUUUGAGACCAGCCUGCCUAAAUGGUGAAAACCUGUUUCUACUAAAAAUACAAAAAAGUAGCUGGGCGUGGUGGUGGGCGCCUGUAAUCCCAGCUACUCUGGGGGCUGAGGCAGGAGAAUCACUUAAACCCAGGAGGCAGAGGUUGCAGUGAGCCGAGAUCACACCACUGUACUCCAGCCUGGGUGACAGAGCGAGACUGUCCAAAAAAAAAAUUGAUAAUUAAAUGUUAAAAGUCAGCGACUCCAGUAAUACGUGGUGGGCUGAGUAUUAGACUACUGGCUUACAUCCUCUGAUGUCAUUACUUUCUUGUUCGUUUGUGACUUGAGGUUGGAUUUUAAGCAAAUGUAUUUGUGGCUUUUUACCAAGGUCAUAUGGCCAGAUAACUUUUCAAAAGCAUUAGUUAAAGAAUUCUGAUUAGUUUGAAUUAGAAACAAAACUCAAAGAACAUGACCUAAUUUAACAGGUUAAUUUGAAGUGCAUCUGCCAAGUAGAAGACCAGCAAGAAAAAAAAAAUGGGUUCCUAGGAAGAGGUAGUAGGUUGCAUAGUUUUAGGGCAGGGAUUUUGCCCACAAGGAGGUAACUAUACGACCUGCUGCCUUUCUUAGGGCCUUAUUAUUCACCGAUAACCUGUUUCCUUGCUACUUUGCUUUGGUGUAAGCAGAGUUCUUUCUGUAGGUUUUUUCAAAUGAAAACAUUGCAAGAAUAUCAAAGAGAGCAGUGUUUGCGUUAGUGAUUAUAAACUGCAGCAUGGUGCUGACAUUGAUAACUGAAAGUCAACUAAUGAGAAUUUGAGACUUCUGAAGUACACUUAGUUGCUAGUGUCUCCCUUUUGGUGUCACUGGAAAGUUUAGAAAGCAUGGUUUUGUUUUUGCUCAGGUUUCUCUUUCUGUGAUGCAGAGACUCUCAGCUGUUCCUCCUCUAUGUCUACAUUAUGUCUGAAGGAAAGAAUUUAACAAAACUUGAAAUACUGCUGUUUUUCUACAAUGUUUGUAAAUAUUUAUCUUGCUGCUUUUCUAGGUUUGUCUUCUGGAUUUAAAAUUUGGGGCGGCUGGGGUGGAAUUGCAUGGUUUGGGAAUGGGUAAUUGAGCUGCUGCUCAUUAUGGUAUGUAACAGUGAUUUGUCUGUUUAAUAUGUACAAGAACUGGAAGGUCAAUAAAAUGAAAGUGGUUGUCUUGACUGGGUAAUAGUGUUACAUAUUUUGUUAAAAGUUAUACAUCUUUUCAAUAAAAACACUGCAUACUUCAAAACUAGUGCUUUUUAAGUCAUCCUUAACCCUUAUCCCCAUCCUUGCAGUAGUAGAUGCAUUUUUCAUUUGUAAUUAUUAUGAUUUGUUCUUAGUUUCAUUUUUCAUUAGCAAUAAUUUGGUGAUUGGAUGGUCAUUUACAGAUGUUUUAAUAAAGCUAACACGAGCAAUUUCCAGCUCUUCCAUUUUUGUAAACACUUGUGUGACUUUGUACAGACAAUUAACUGCUCAGGAUCACCCUCCUUUUUGUUUUGUUUUUGAGAUGGUCUCAUUCCGUCACCCAUGCUGGAGUGUAGUGAAAUGAUCACAGCUCACUGCAGCCUUGACCUCCCGGACUCAAGCUUCCUAGUAACUGGGACUACAGGUGCAUACAACCAUGCCUGGCUAAUUUUAUUUUUGUAGAGACGGUUUCACCAUAUUGCCCAGACUGGUCUUGAACUCCUGAUUAUCCUCUGGCUUUUACCUCCCAAAGUGCUGGCCAGGACAGCCUCCUUUCUUUACUUGAGUAAUUAUUUGAGUUUGCUCAGGCAGACACUACCUUGUAAAAACUCUUAUGUCUCAUUUCACUAGUCUAGUUUGAGCAUUUAUCAUUCUAGGAAUGAGACGAAUUUGUGCAUUAGCAUUCCAUCUUUUUCCAACUACUAUGAACAGUAGUAUUUUUUUUUAUUUUAUUUUAUUUUUUGAGACAAAAUCUCACUGUUUCCCAGGCUAGAGUGCAGUGGUGUGAUCUCAGCUCACUGCUGCAACCUCCACCUCCUGGGUAGAGUAGACAGGAUUUAGGUAAUUUUUUGUAUUUUUAUUAGAGACAGGGUUUCACUAUGUUGGCCAGGCUGGUCUUGAACUCCUGGCCUCAAGUGAUCCACCGGCCGUGGCCUUCCAGAGUGCUGGGAUUACAGGUGUGAACCACCCUUGCCUGAUCAUGAGCAGUAAUACAUUUAAAAGUCUCCAGGGGUGAGAAAGUUGAAAGGAAAUUCAGUGGAGUUUCCCAUCCUGCCCCUCUGCUGCCUAGCCCCUUGCUCCAGUGGAAGGAAGAAUCGUGAUCUAGGGAUGUUCUCAUACUUGGGGCUUUAAAUUUCCUUUAUGAAUUGAGAUGGUUGGGUAUGUUUUCUAAGGUACCUUACAUGGUACAGUUCUUUAAAGUUGAAGAUUUAAGUUGUGGCAAAAUUGCAUCAAUUUCAUGUGCACUGAUUUAGGCGAAGAUGCGUAGGAAAAGAGCAAGGAAAUGAGGUGUGAUAGGAUUGGGGUAAUUUCAAAAUGAGUAUUUCUGCCUGGCCUAGUGGUUCACGCCUGUAAUCACAGCACUUUGGGAGGCCAAGGCAGGCAGAUCCCCUGAGGUCAAGAGUUCGAGACCAGCCUGGCCAACAUGAUGAAACCCCAUCUUACUAAAAAAAAGUAGCUGGCAUGGUGGUGGGCUACUUGUGAGGCUGAUGUAAGGAGAACCGCUUGAACCAGGGAGGUGGAGGUUGCAGUGACCAGAGAUUACGCUAUUGCACUCCAGCUUGGACGACAGAGCAAGACUGUCUUAAAAAUGUUUCUAGUUUCACUUAUUCUAAAUUUAUGUCUAACCAUUUUUAGUGAAGUAUUUGAGUCACAUCAGCUAGCCUUUUUCCUACAGCGUUGAAGUAAUUUUCUAGGUUCCUUGCUCUCCCCCCAUUUUAUUUCCUACUUUGCUUUCUGUUGUUGGGGUCCUAUGGGGAGGGCUGGGAAAGGAGUUGGGCCCUCUUAGGACUGGUCAUCAAUCUUUGUUCUGAGCAGUGUUUUGUUUUCUGGUUGAAUGGCUGACCUGAAGGAAGCAUCAGACUCCUUGGGAUUCUGAAAUCCUAUUUCUUGAUAGAAACCCAUAACUUAUUUUAGUUUGACUUAAAAACGAUCCAUAAGUAAGCAUGCAGGGUUGGUGUAACUGCAUUGAACUGGUAACAUCAGAAACACGGGUAGAAAUGAGGUACCCCAGUGAUACGGAAGCUUUGUGACUGAUGUCCUGGAUUCUUUCUAGCUUUUCUUCCAGCCCUAACACAUGGUUUCCAUUCUCAAGGUUACCUCUGUAACAACUGACUGCUAUAACUGGCCACGUCGUUUUUCCAUUCAUGAAGAUGGAAAAAGGAAAAGGCAGAAGGGACACUUUUAUGGUUGAAUUCAUUUAGUUUUCUCAAGAAAUGCCACCUAGUGACUCCUUUACGUGUAAUCCCUUGGAACUAUCACAGACUAGACCAAGGAAUCCUGGAAAGUGGUCCUGGCAGGACUGAUUGCCAGGCUGAAUACAAUCAGGGUCCCACUAGUAAGGAGGGGAGAAAGGAAAUAACACAGAUAGUUAUCUGCAGUAAUUGGCAUUAGGAAAAAAAACUUGACAAAGACUGACAAGCUCUGUUCCACUCCUGCCAUUUAAAGAAAAACACACACACGCAUAAAAACACCAAGUGGCCUCAGAUGGGCAGCACUCCUCCUGACCCUGGGCUUCAGAAAUUUUCACUGGGAGUCUGAUGAGGCUCAGCCACAGUUGUGUGGGACUGUUCUCAAUUUCAAGCAGAGGAGCAGAGAAAGCUGGUUAGUUGCGGAGGCUUCCCACAUUACUUGGACCCUACAAUAUAUAUGACUUCUAUCACAGGACAUGGUACAGAACUGGAACAAUAAAGCAUUUUUUAAAAUUUAAUUUCUUGAGCAAUUUUAGUUUCACAGCAAAAUUGAGCAGAAAGUAUAGUGUUCACAUAUACUUCCCUGUUUAUUACGCACACACUGCCUUCCUCACUACUGAAGUCCUGACCAUAAUGGUACAUUUUAAUAAAGCAGUUUGUUUUUCCCUUUUCUUUGAAGUUGUUCCAUCAUGAGAAUUAGGCUAAAAGUCUUAGCUUACUGCCCCAUGGAAGGAAGGACAAAUAGCAAUGACCAAGCAACGUAUUUUUAGCUUUGAGGCCAAAAUUGGCUGAAAAUGACAGAAGCAGUUACUUCAGAGAAAAUGAUUUUUUGCAGUUCUGCAUAAAUUUGAAGAGGUAAACCUGGAUUGCUGAGAACAAUGAGUUAUAUGCAGUGGACUAGAGGAAGAUGCAUAUUCAACCAUGUCUUUUUUUCCAUCCAAGAAGAGUUACUAGCAAGCAGUAAGAUGAGAGGAAAUGAAACCAGUCAGACUGCUGAGUGCUGGAGAAGCGGUCCCUGUGCACACUCCGGCAUGGGCAUGGUAGGACUACCUGUAUGGAUUAAGGGGAGUCAAGGGUCAGGGGAUGGUUGAUCUGCAUUUUUUUCCCCAGGGCAUAACCUGAGACCACAAAGCUUCUAGGGAAGGGUUGUGUACAUCAUGGCCCCACAGCAGUGAGAGGCUUGAAGAAUGCUCUGGCUAAAGACACGGAGGUGCUGUGGCAGGCACUGUUACUUGCCUACCCAAAUAUCCCCUUGCUGGGAGAACCUUGAUUUUGUUGAGGUAUGGAUCUCAGGAAAGUUACCCUAGUUUUUUGUCUAGGGGUAGGCAUGUGACCAGAUUUGAUCAGUGAGAUGUAAAGACCAGUGGUAGGGAGAGGGUUUCUUUCUUUUCUUCUCCCUCCCCCGACCCACCCCAGAGUCUCGCUUUGUCACCCAGGCUGAAAUGCAGGGGCGUGGUCACGGCUCACUGCUGCCUUGACCUCCCCAACUCAAGCGGUCCUCCUACCUCAGCUUCCCACAUAACUUGGACUUUACGCGCACACCGCCAUGCCUGGCUAAUUUUUUUCUGUUUUACAGACGGAGUCUUGCUAUGUUGCCCAGGCUGGUCUUGAACUCCGGGGCUCAGACAGUCCUCCCACCUUGGGCUCCCAGAGUGCUGGGAUUACUGCUGUGAGCCACUGCACCUGCCUGCAUCAUGCUUAGGUUUGAAUGUGGUUGUGUGAUGAUCAGAGCUGCUGCAGCCAUCUUGUGACCACGAAGGGUAGGUUAGGUCAAUAAUACCAACCAAGAGUUCUGACAUUACUGAGCUGUUGAGUCAAUGCCAGCAUCUGCUCUCCUCUACACUUUGUAUUAUAUGAGAAAAAUGAACUACCUUAUAGUGAAUGGGGGUUAUGAGACUUGCAGGGAAAAGCUCUCCUCACAGGAUCCCACAUAGGGAAGUCCAGGGAAAGCCCCUAAAUGUGAGGGAAGAGGAAAGGUGCUAAGGGGCCAUCAGGAAGAAGCCUAUGGCUUAGAUAAGGAUGGUAGACAAUGGAUCUCUGACAUCUGUAGCAGGACCCUGAACGUGAGCAUGAACAUGAAGUGGUAAGAGGCUGAUGGCAAGACCACAUUUCUGAAACUGGGAUCUUACAAGUGGCAGGCAGCAAGGACCAAGCUCAAGACAGUAUGGACCAAACAGUAAGGACACCCCUUCUUAGUGCUGACAUGAGUUAAGCCCUUUGGAAAUUUAGAUCCUCUUGAAUUUGAUAAACUAACUCUCCUAAAAACUGCUUUAAAUCGAGACAGUUCUCUUAAAUGGAUGAAAUUUCAGUGUUCUGCCAUUAGUAGACAUGGGGGCUCAAGAUACUCGGCAACAAAAGUUUUUGUUACAUUUUUGCUCUCUUGAAUGGCAACUGUAAACUUUGAACCUCUGCAGUUACCCUAAUGCAGAACUUAUUAUUUAUAGACUUUUUGAUGAUUUACAAUGAAAUACUGAUAUAGAAACAGAUGUUUAAAAGAAAACUGUAUAGCUUGUCUCACUUAAGUAACGUAGCCUAAGUUUCUUAAACCCAAGAUCUCAUUUUAGCUACCUAGGUAUAUUGUCCAGAGUACUGAAUAUGAGCACAUUUCACAUGACAGGCUCUUAAAUGCAAGUGUGUGUGCGUGUAUGUGUCUGUGGUGUGUGUGUGUGUGUGUGUAGUCCUUGCAUUGCCUGGCAUCUUGUUACAGUAAUUCAUGCACAUAAGAACCAUGUCCUUGCUUUGCCUUGCCUGGUAGAGAACUAUGCAAAGCAAGAACAAGGCUCCAGUAUGAACAAGUUUGUAUUAGCAUGGUAUCAUGAAAUGUAAGAACUCCCUGUGUAUGCUGUAUGUACCCUUUCCUUCUUAAAAUAUGCCCAGCACCCUUCUAUGUCUUUGUCUUCUCAUUAGUCUUGGAAAUACUGGUCAUAGGUCCUCAUGGGGAACUAACUUCUCUAAGCUUUCAGGUUGUAUCAUCCAGCCCAUUGGCAGCUACUUAGGAAGCUUUUUAUACUCUACCCUGAAGUGUGGUGUUUUAACUAGGUCUGAAAGCAGAGGAGUGACCCAGUAGAGGGUCACUGACCAAAAUGAGAAAUGAGGUGGUUGAGAAAAUCUGAAAAGAUGCACAAGGUUUCAGGUAUAAUACAUUUGUCUAAUAUCUCCCAAGAUUGCAAAUAAGUUUCCCUAAGUAGUCUUAUGAUUAUUUUAUUAUCUUGGGCACUUCAGUAUAGGGGAAAGAAGGGCAGAGUAUGGUGAAUGGCAGAGCAGAAGAUGCCUAAAUAGUUGGGAAAAAUAAUCCUGUGACUGGAAAACUGCAUUAAAAAUAAUAUCUGGCCAGGCGCGGUGGCUCACGCCUGUAAUCCCAGCACUUUGGGAGGCUGAGGCAGACGGAUCACGAGGUCAGGAGAUCAAGACCAUCCUGGCUAACAUGGUGAAACCCCAUCUCUACUAAAAAUACAAAACAAAUUAGCCGGGCAUGGUGAUGGGUGCCUGUGGUCCCAGCUACUCGGGAGGCUAAGGCAGGAGAAUGGUGUGAACCCGGGAGGCGGAGCUUGCAGUAAGCCGAGAUCAUACCACUGCACUCCAGCCUGGGUGACAGAGUGAGACUCCAUCUCAAAAAAUAAUAAUAAUAAUAAUAUCUUGUUGAUACAUCCUUCUUUUGUGAUUGGGGGAAAUGGUGACUUAAUCCCUAAAGGAAUCAUGUAAUAUGUAGACCUUUGAAUAUGGCUUUUUUCAUUUAGCCUGUUUUUAAGGUUCAUUCUUGUUGUGAUAUAUAUAUUUUUGAAAUAGGUUCUCACUCUGUUUUCCAGGCUGGAGUGCAGCAUUGUGAUCUUGACUCACUGCAGUGUCGACCUCCUGAGCUCAACUGUUUCUUUAUAUUUCUGAGUAGUAUUUUCUUGUAUAGAUAUCAAAUCUUCUUUAUCUUCUUUUUUUUUUUUUUUUUUUUUUUUUUUAGACAGAGUCUCGCUCUGCACACCCAGGCUGGAGUGCAGUGGUGCUAUCUCGGCUCACUGUAAGCUCUGCCACCCGAGUUCACGCCAUUCUUCUGCCUCAGCCUCCCGAGUAGCUGGGACUACAGGCGUCCGCCACCACGCCCAGCUACUUUUUUGUAUUUUUAGUAGAGGCAGGGUUUCACC